CCUACGGGAGGCAGCAGUGGGGAAUAUUGGACAAUGGGGGGAACCCUGAUCCAGCCAUGCCGCGUGUGUGAAGAAGGCCCUCGGGUUGUAAAGCACUUUCAGUGAGGAAGAACGCCUGGUGGUUAAUACCCAUCAGGAAAGACAUCACUCACAGAAGAAGCACCGGCUAACUCCGUGCCAGCAGCCGCGGUAAUACGGAGGGUGCGAGCGUUAAUCGGAAUUACUGGGCGUAAAGCGCGCGUAGGUGGCUUGAUAAGCCGGUUGUGAAAGCCCCGGGCUCAACCUGGGAACGGCAUCCGGAACUGUCAAGCUAGAGUGCAGGAGAGGAAGGUAGAAUUCCCGGUGUAGCGGUGAAAUGCGUAGAGAUCGGGAGGAAUACCAGUGGCGAAGGCGGCCUUCUGGACUGACACUGACACUGAGGUGUGAAAGCGUGGGUAGCAAACAGGAUUAGAUACCCCGGUAGUC
Molecule: ribosomal RNA, 465 nt
Filed under: Vreelandella stevensii
Lineage: Bacteria; Pseudomonadati; Pseudomonadota; Gammaproteobacteria; Oceanospirillales; Halomonadaceae
Description: partial 16S ribosomal RNA
Rfam family: Bacterial small subunit ribosomal RNA
Source: RNAcentral